GAUGAACGCUGGCGGCGUGCCUAACACAUGCAAGUCGAGCGAACACACGAGGAGCUUGUUCCCCUGACGUUAGCGGCGGACGGGCGAGUAACACGUGGAUAACCUACCUAUAAGACUGGGAUAAUAUCGGGAAACCGGAGCUAAUACCGGAGAAUAUAUUGAACCGCAUGGUUCAAUAGUUAAAGACGGUUUUGCUGUUACUAAUAGCCGGAUCCGCGUCGCAUUAGCUAGUUGGUAAGGUAACGGCUUACCAAGGCGACGAUGCGUAGCCGACCUGAGAGGGUGAUCGGCCACACUGGAACUGAGACACGGUCCAGACUCCUACGGGAGGCAGCAGUAGGGAAUCUUCGGCAAUGGGCGAAAGCCUGACGGAGCAACGCCGCGUGAGUGAUGAAGGUCUUCGGAUCGUAAAGCUCUGUUAUUAGGGAAGAAAAGAUGUGUAAGUAACUAUGCACGUCUUGACGGUACCUAAUCAGAAAGCCACGGCUAACUACGUG
RNAcentral lists this ribosomal RNA (497 nucleotides) under uncultured bacterium. Its description in RNAcentral is "partial 16S ribosomal RNA". It matches the Rfam family "Bacterial small subunit ribosomal RNA", at positions 28 to 507 of the family's 1533-position model. The record is from RNAcentral.